UAACUAUCUUUCUAAAUUUGGGAAAGUUUUACAGUUAAGGGAAAUCGGAAGAUCUGUUUACCUAUUCCAGAAAUUUCUUAUUUUCCUAAUUCCUUUAAUUUAAUUGAUUUUCCUAUUUCUAAAUUUCCUAUUUUCCCACUUCUUUCUAUUGACUAGGUUUUCUAUAUUUUUUAUUUUUGAUCUAUUUUGGUGCUUAUAAAUAAGGUACCUUAAAUUACUUAUUUUUUAAAAUAAAAAGUAGUAUGGUUGUAUUGCUAUGAGCACCAAAUGUGCAAAACAUGUACAGUUAUUUACAGCUUAGUCCUCCAAACCAAAAAUAUUCCUGAAAGUCUCAAAGAAUACCGGAGGAUGACCCAUAAGCAAAAACUUUAGGGCAUUAAGUCAUCUAUUUUUCAGUACACCAAAGCCCUUUGUAUCAUCAAGCCCCUCAAAUGCUUUACUAUUCCUAACCUUCUGCACAGUCUACAUAAGGGUGGUAGGAAUCAUGUCUGCGGAAAUACAGCUGUCCCUAAGAUGCUCCCUUGCCCAUAUCUCAUCUUUAAUUGAGCCCGAACAAACCCAGCUAAUUCCCAAGCAACUGUAGACCAUGCACCACAGCUGAUAGACAGCAGGACACUGCAAGAGAAGGUAUCUGCAGCGCUCCUCAGCCUGUUUGCAGAGGGAGCAAGCAUUUACCAAAAUUAGUCCCCUUCUUAGCUUAUCUAUUGUCAGAAUGCACUCUCUGCCAGCUUCCCAAGCAAAGAAAGAACCCUUGGUGGCACCUUAACUUUCCAAAUCAGUUUGUAAGGGAAUGGCUGUUAACUUAUUUAUUAAGUAGACUAUUUAUGAGUAUUGUUCAAAUAUUGAGACAUUGUUUUGAUUAUUGAGAUCUGAGAUCUCCAAUUCUUGUUCUUAAUAUAGUUUUCUCUAAGUUUUCUUUUCAAGCUCUUUUUGUCCUACAUCACUUAUUUACCAUCAUUCACGUUUAGUUGAUUCCCAAUUCGCCACUACUUAUAUCUUUCCCAUAUUAAUUGCCACAUAAGUGGUGAUGUGGCAUUUAAAAGAGAUCUUAACAUAUAUGGUGACAGAAUGAUGAAAAUAAAAAAUUCAGCAAGUGCUCAAAAUAGAAUAACUGAAAGUCAAGAGAUAAAAUAAAAAGUAACCUAAUUGUUGAGUGCCUAUAUACUCUAUUUACCUUUUAAUGCUAUUCUUAGAAAGGAUGAUAUCCUAUGCAGAUAUAAGUAAGAGAAAAUAUACAUAUAAGUAGCGCAAAUAGAGUUGAAGAUAUAUUUCUUUGCUGAUUCAUUUCUAAAUAUCAUAAGUACAUGAUUCAAG
RNAcentral lists this long non-coding RNA (1314 nucleotides) under Carica papaya (papaya). RNAcentral describes it as "long non-coding RNA (CPAP_LNC004808)". The record is from RNAcentral. Lineage: Eukaryota; Viridiplantae; Streptophyta; Magnoliopsida; Brassicales; Caricaceae.